GGCGGCCGGGUUAGUAACGCGGGGGAAAAGCCCUUCAUCAGGAUAGCCCCUGGAGACGGAGAGUAAACCUCAUACGCCCCACGGGGGAGAGAUUUCAUCGGUGAGGGAUUCGGCCCGCGUUAGAUCCAGUUAGUUCGGUGGGGUAACGGCCUACCAAGACUACGAUUCUAUAGCUCGGUUUCGAGAGAACGAUCAGCAACACUCGGGACUCGAGACACGGCCCAGACUCCUACGGGAGGCAGCAGUGGGGAAUCUCAGACAAUGGGGGAAACCCUGAUUCUAGCGACGCCGCGUGAGUGACGAAGGCCCUAGGGUCGUAAAGCUUCUUUUCGCCAAGGAUGAUAAUGACAGUACUUCGGUAAAGAAACCCCGGCUAACUCCGUGCCAGCAGCCGCGGUAAUACGGAGGGGGUUAGCGUUUGUUCGGAAUUUACUGGGCGUAAAGCGCACGUAGGCGGACUUUUUAAGUUUAGAGGUGAAAUCCCGGGGCUUCAACCCCGGAACUUGCCUUUUAAUACUGGAAGUCUUUGAGUUCGAGAGAGGUGAGUGGAAUUUCCGAGUGUAGAGGUGAAAUUCGUAGAUAUUCGGAGGAACACCAGUGGCGAAGGCGGCUCACUGGCUCGAUACUGACGCUGAGGUGCGAAAGUGUGGGGAGCAAACAGGAUUAGAUACCCUGGUAGUCCACACCGUAAACGAUGAAUG
Molecule: ribosomal RNA, 701 nt
Filed under: uncultured bacterium
Lineage: Bacteria
Description: bacterial SSU rRNA
Rfam family: Bacterial small subunit ribosomal RNA
Source: RNAcentral